Molecule: small nuclear RNA, 148 nt
Organism: Hyaena hyaena (striped hyena)
Lineage: Eukaryota; Metazoa; Chordata; Mammalia; Carnivora; Hyaenidae
Product: U4 spliceosomal RNA
Exons: 1
Source: RefSeq, a predicted model, not a curated record
AGCUUUGCGCAGUGGCAGUAUCGUAGCCAAUGAGGUUUAUCCGAGGCGCGAUUAUUGCUAAUUUAAUGUUAAGAAGUUCACAUGGCAAAGAAUUGGGGCCUCUUGGCAAAAGCCGCUGAGGAGCCCUAACUUCCAGACACUGCCGUGU